GGGACUACACGGGUAUCUAAUCCUGUUUGCUCCCCACGCUUUCGUGCAUGAGCGUCAGUGUUAUCCCAGGGGGCUGCCUUCGCCAUCGGUAUUCCUCCACAUAUCUACGCAUUUCACUGCUACACGUGGAAUUCUACCCCCCUCUGACACACUCUAGCCGUGCAGUCACAAAUGCAAUUCCCAGGUUGAGCCCGGGGAUUUCACAUCUGUCUUGCACAACCGCCUGCGCACGCUUUACGCCCAGUAAUUCCGAUUAACGCUUGCACCCUACGUAUUACCGCGGCUGCUGGCACCU
This 295-nucleotide unclassified non-coding RNA is filed under the name uncultured Gammaproteobacteria bacterium. RNAcentral's name for it is "contains 16S-23S intergenic spacer region". The record is from RNAcentral. Lineage: Bacteria; Pseudomonadati; Pseudomonadota; Gammaproteobacteria.